This 798-nucleotide long non-coding RNA is filed under the name Homo sapiens (human). RNAcentral describes it as "HSALNT0236211". Lineage: Eukaryota; Metazoa; Chordata; Mammalia; Primates; Hominidae. The record is from RNAcentral.
UUUGCAGCAGGGGAAUGGCAAGAUGAGACCUGCUUUUAUUGGAACUGAGCUGGAACCGAUGGGGAGUGGGGAGGAGGCUGCAGCAGGUGGGGAGAGUGAAAAUGAGUGAGCCGAGCAGCCGGAUGGACCCAGAGAUCCUCAGAGCCUUGCCCGUUCUUCCGUAGCAGUUCCAGACAGCCACGGCCACCUGGUCCUGGUCCUCGGGAGUACCGACACAACUGCCACCCUAAAGGGCACCAGGAACUCUACCUCCAUCAGCUCGCAGAUGGUCACCGUGGCAGCUGUCUCUAAGGAGGGUGUUCACUCCUCUUCCACAGAUGACAAAACUGAGACUCCAAGAAGCCAAGUGACUUGUGUAAGGACAAACGGUAACCAAGGCGCAGGGGAAGCAGCCAGCCUUUGCCAGUCUGACUCCAAAGUUCAAGUUCUAUGUACACCCCAGGUAGCUUGGCAAACCACCCACUUCUCGAACAGGAAGGCCUCAACCCUGCCGUUCACAAAGGAGGAAAAAGACAGUGUGUGCAGGCCCCCAGGCACAGGACAGACAAGAUUCGGUGCUAGAAUAUUCAAAGUGAUUUUGAAACCCAGCGCCUCUUAGUAAUAACAAUACCAGUUUCGGUCAUUUGCAUAACUUUCUACCGUUAACAAAAGGUAUCCCCAGCAGUUAAUUACAAUGACAAAGAAGGCACAAGGAGGCCGGGGCGGUGGUUCACGCCUGUAAUCCCAGCACUUUGGGAGGCCGAGGCAAGUGGAUCACCUGAGGUUAGGAGCUCAGCCUGGCCAACAUGGUGAAACCCC